AGUGAACGCUGGCGGUAGGCCUAACACAUGCCAGUCGAACGGCAGCACAGUAAGAGCUUGCUCUUACGGGUGGCGAGUGGCGGACGGGUGAGGAAUACAUCGGAAUCUACUUUUUCGUGGGGGAUAACGUAGGGAAACUUACGCUAAUACCGCAUACGACCUACGGGUGAAAGCAGGGGAUCUUCGGACCUUGCGCGAUUGAAUGAGCCGAUGUCGGAUUAGCUAGUUGGCGGGGUAAAGGCCCACCAAGGCGACGAUCCGUAGCUGGUCUGAGAGGAUGAUCAGCCACACUGGAACUGAGACACGGUCCAGACUCCUACGGGAGGCAGCAGUGGGGAAUAUUGGACAAUGGGCGCAAGCCUGAUCCAGCCAUACCGCGUGGGUGAAGAAGGCCUUCGGGUUGUAAAGCCCUUUUGUUGGGAAAGAAAAGCAGCAGGUUAAUACCCCGCUGUUCUGACGGUACCCAAAGAAUAAGCACCCGCUAACUUCGUG
RNAcentral lists this ribosomal RNA (492 nucleotides) under uncultured bacterium. Its description in RNAcentral is "partial 16S ribosomal RNA". It matches the Rfam family "Bacterial small subunit ribosomal RNA", at positions 29 to 507 of the family's 1533-position model. The record is from RNAcentral.